ACAAAGCCUGUGCUGAAUCUGCCGUUAUGCUUCCCUGCCUGUUAUUAACCCAAGCUCUGUUCACGUUUCAAGGUUGCAGACAGCAAUGCUACAGCCCUGGAUAAUCCUACGUGGUUCUGGUUCUUCUUCCUGUUGGCAGUCAAAAUACCUUGGAUAACUCGUUGUGGUGAGCCUCACAAAUGUGAAUACUCUGCUGAAUUUACCUCAGUCCAAGAAUUGCUCCAGAUCUGCCAGAUCUAACUUCAAGAUCACUUCUCGCUCCACCUGCCCUGCCUGUCCACCCUCCAACGCCUGUUUCCGUGGCUUGCUCACUUCUUCCCAGAAUCAACAACCUUGUUCACAACUUCUCUCCCAUUUCUUAAAAAGUCAGGGAGACUGCUCCACUUUGUCCUACAUCCUCUGCUCUUCUCCUACUGGCCGUGCUCAGAACAGCUGUGGGCGACAUUCAGAACUGGCUGAGAAGAAAAGAAACAGUGGUUUGCAUCAAACAAAUACAACAUGUAAACACAGCACAAACAAUAAAUUUUAUUCUAACAGCA
Molecule: long non-coding RNA, 539 nt
Organism: Girardinichthys multiradiatus
Lineage: Eukaryota; Metazoa; Chordata; Actinopteri; Cyprinodontiformes; Goodeidae
Exons: 2
Source: RefSeq, a predicted model, not a curated record